RNAcentral lists this ribosomal RNA (579 nucleotides) under Ammonia sp. genotype T2. RNAcentral describes it as "bacterial SSU rRNA". The stretch from base 1 to 455 matches the Rfam family "Eukaryotic small subunit ribosomal RNA", at positions 1220 to 1501 of the family's 1831-position model. The record is from RNAcentral. Lineage: Eukaryota; Foraminifera; Rotaliida; Rotaliidae.
GGGUCCGGACACACUGAGGAUUGACAGAUAUACGCUCAUGCGUGCUUCGGCGCCGCUGGGCUGAAAGAUGCUAGUUCUUUCAUGAUUAUGUGAUAGGUGGUGCAUGGCCGUUCUUAGUUCGUGGAGUGAUCUGUCUGCUUAAUUGCGUAUCAAUAAUAGAGACCUAGUAUACGCGUGGAUUUCGUGUGGUAGUGACCCCCUGUUUAACGACAGGCGUGUGUCGCACACGCGUACCUACGCACUGGUCUCAGAUAGCAACGAACGUGACCGUAUUCUAUUGUUGCAGUGAAAUGUGCCUUCUGAGUACGACCCACUGCUUAGUAUAUGUACGUGCUUCGGCGCGAACAAUAUACAUUAAACUAUAGAGACCGCUGUUUCUUCUUUAAACCAGAGGAAGGAUACGGCAAUAACAGGUCUGUGAUGCCCUCAGAUGUUCCGGGCCGCACACGUGCUACAAUGAUCAUUGCACUGUGCAUCUAACCCAAUGUGCGUGGACGCCGCAUGCAUGUGCCUUCGGGUACACGCAUUGCUGUUGCGACCACGCCGAACCUACUUCGAAAGUAAAAUUUCUCAGUGGGU